GGGGGCGACCUGGCUUCGACGUGGGUCAAGAAGCAGCAUGGUGCAUACCGAGGACCAGUCACCUCGUAAAACCACUGGAAAAUCAUACUCGCCAACGACGAGCAAUUCGCUCUGGCCGCUUAAGGCCUAAGCCGCUGCACUGAUUGGUCUCUGGGUCAGGUGGGGUAAAACCCGCAGCAGCGUCAUUUACAGGGACUCGUGCCGUUCCGGGUUACUUGGGACGGAGCUAAAACCAAGGUGACUCGCCCUGGGUCGGCCUGCCGACCGGCUAAGCUCAGGGUUAAAUUCAAAUAGACCGGCUAAGUAUGUAGAGCCAGUUGUGGAAGUCUUGCGGACGGGGGUUCGAUUCCCCCCGCCUCCACCA
Molecule: transfer-messenger RNA, 364 nt
Filed under: Candidatus Dactylopiibacterium sp.
Lineage: Bacteria; Pseudomonadati; Pseudomonadota; Betaproteobacteria; Rhodocyclales; Rhodocyclaceae
Rfam family: transfer-messenger RNA
About the family: Bacterial tmRNA, also known as 10Sa RNA or SsrA, is named for its dual tRNA and mRNA-like properties. Its role is to liberate the mRNA from a stalled ribosome. To accomplish this part of the tmRNA is used as a reading frame that ends in a translation stop signal.
Source: RNAcentral